This 208-nucleotide long non-coding RNA is filed under the name Brassica napus (rape). RNAcentral's name for it is "long non-coding RNA (BNAP_LNC000400)". The record is from RNAcentral. Lineage: Eukaryota; Viridiplantae; Streptophyta; Magnoliopsida; Brassicales; Brassicaceae.
AUAUCUAUUAGAAAAGCACCAAAUGCAAAUUUUUAGGACGUAAGCUCGUGUGAUACUUGGAAGAGAUAAUAUCUCUUAUAUAUUAAAAAAGAAACAUUUGUCAUUAGUGUGCAUUCACACUAAAUUCGUCAUAUGAUAGCAUCACGUGGAUUUUAAAUUGAGUAUGCUGACGCGUCCGUUUUGCAAUCAUUUAACAACUAGGUGUUGU